AUUGAACGCUGGCGGCAGGCCUAACACAUGCAAGUCGAACGGUAACAGGAAGCAGCUUGCUGCUUCGCUGACGAGUGGCGGACGGGUGAGUAAUGUCUGGGAAACUGCCUGAUGGAGGGGGAUAACUACUGGAAACGGUAGCUAAUACCGCAUAACGUCGCAAGACCAAAGAGGGGGACCUUCGGGCCUCUUGCCAUCGGAUGUGCCCAGAUGGGAUUAGCUAGUAGGUGGGGUAACGGCUCACCUAGGCGACGAUCCCUAGCUGGUCUGAGAGGAUGACCAGCCACACUGGAACUGAGACACGGUCCAGACUCCUACGGGAGGCAGCAGUGGGGAAUAUUGCACAAUGGGCGCAAGCCUGAUGCAGCCAUGCCGCGUGUAUGAAGAAGGCCUUUCGGGUUGUAAAGUACUUUCAGCGGGGAGGAAGGCGAUAAGGUUAAUAACCUUGUCGAUUGACGUUACCCCGCAGAAGAAGCACC
This 479-nucleotide ribosomal RNA is filed under the name Enterobacter hormaechei. RNAcentral's name for it is "bacterial SSU rRNA". It matches the Rfam family "Bacterial small subunit ribosomal RNA", at positions 30 to 494 of the family's 1533-position model. The record is from RNAcentral. Lineage: Bacteria; Pseudomonadati; Pseudomonadota; Gammaproteobacteria; Enterobacterales; Enterobacteriaceae.